This 1648-nucleotide ribosomal RNA is filed under the name Salmonella enterica subsp. enterica serovar Heidelberg. RNAcentral's name for it is "bacterial LSU rRNA". It matches the Rfam family "Bacterial large subunit ribosomal RNA", at positions 1271 to 2897 of the family's 2925-position model. The record is from RNAcentral. Lineage: Bacteria; Pseudomonadati; Pseudomonadota; Gammaproteobacteria; Enterobacterales; Enterobacteriaceae.
UGCUGGAGGUAUCAGAAGUGCGAAUGCUGACAUAAGUAACGAUAAAGCGGGUGAAAAGCCCGCUCGCCGGAAGACCAAGGGUUCCUGUCCAACGUUAAUCGGGGCAGGGUGAGUCGACCCCUAAGGCGAGGCCGAAAGGCGUAGUCGAUGGGAAACGGGUUAAUAUUCCCGUACUUGGUGUUACUGCGAAGGGGGGACGGAGAAGGCUAUGUUGGCCGGGCGACGGUUGUCCCGGUUUAAGCGUGUAGGUGUGUGUUCCAGGUAAAUCCGGUUCACUUUAACACUGAGGCGUGAUGACGAGGCACUACGGUGCUGAAGCAACAAAUGCCCUGCUUCCAGGAAAAGCCUCUAAGCAUCAGGUAACAUCAAAUCGUACCCCAAACCGACACAGGUGGUCAGGUAGAGAAUACCAAGGCGCUUGAGAGAACUCGGGUGAAGGAACUAGGCAAAAUGGUGCCGUAACUUCGGGAGAAGGCACGCUGACACGUAGGUGAAGUGAUUUACUCACGGAGCUGAAGUCAGUCGAAGAUACCAGCUGGCUGCAACUGUUUAUUAAAAACACAGCACUGUGCAAACACGAAAGUGGACGUAUACGGUGUGACGCCUGCCCGGUGCCGGAAGGUUAAUUGAUGGGGUCAGCGCAAGCGAAGCUCCUGAUCGAAGCCCCGGUAAACGGCGGCCGUAACUAUAACGGUCCUAAGGUAGCGAAAUUCCUUGUCGGGUAAGUUCCGACCUGCACGAAUGGCGUAAUGAUGGCCAGGCUGUCUCCACCCGAGACUCAGUGAAAUUGAACUCGCUGUGAAGAUGCAGUGUACCCGCGGCAAGACGGAAAGACCCCGUGAACCUUUACUAUAGCUUGACACUGAACAUUGAGCCUUGAUGUGUAGGAUAGGUGGGAGGCUUUGAAGCGUGGACGCCAGUCUGCGUGGAGCCGACCUUGAAAUACCACCCUUUAAUGUUUGAUGUUCUAACGUGGACCCGUUAUCCGGGUUGCGGACAGUGUCUGGUGGGUAGUUUGACUGGGGCGGUCUCCUCCUAAAGAGUAACGGAGGAGCACGAAGGUUGGCUAAUCCUGGUCGGACAUCAGGAGGUUAGUGCAAUGGCAUAAGCCAGCUUGACUGCGAGCGUGACGGCGCGAGCAGGUGCGAAAGCAGGUCAUAGUGAUCCGGUGGUUCUGAAUGGAAGGGCCAUCGCUCAACGGAUAAAAGGUACUCCGGGGAUAACAGGCUGAUACCGCCCAAGAGUUCAUAUCGACGGCGGUGUUUGGCACCUCGAUGUCGGCUCAUCACAUCCUGGGGCUGAAGUAGGUCCCAAGGGUAUGGCUGUUCGCCAUUUAAAGUGGUACGCGAGCUGGGUUUAGAACGUCGUGAGACAGUUCGGUCCCUAUCUGCCGUGGGCGCUGGAGAACUGAGGGGGGCUGCUCCUAGUACGAGAGGACCGGAGUGGACGCAUCACUGGUGUUCGGGUUGUCAUGCCAAUGGCACUGCCCGGUAGCUAAAUGCGGAAGAGAUAAGUGCUGAAAGCAUCUAAGCACGAAACUUGCCCCGAGAUGAGUUCUCCCUGAGACUUAGAGUCUCCUGAAGGAACGUUGAAGACGACGACGUUGAUAGGCCGGGUGUGUAAGCGCAGCGAUGCGUUGAGCUAACCG